GGACAGCUGGUGAUGUCGGCGGGCUCGGUAGUUAGGAAGCCGUUGGCUCAGAAGCAGGCCGACGGGAAGGGAGCUGGCAAAGCCCGUUCGGGAAGUCGCCACCAGCUGGAAAAGCAGCCCAGCCCGAGUGUGGAGCAGAUGUGCGGCUGUGAACGGUGAAGUGUGCGGCGUGCGGCGGGGCCGUGAAUCACCGGGCGCCCCUGCUGGUCCAGCAUCGAAGUGCGCACCGUGCUCCGGGGCCCUGUCACUGGCUCCCAGCCGGCCUCGUCCUGAUGCCCCCCCACCGCCCCGACCCCGGCUGGCUGAUUGACCAGGUGCUCCCCCAGCCAAGGUUAAGGUGUCAAGUAUUUGAUGUCUGUUGUUUGUGUCUAGGUCAUAGGAGAAACCCACCUAAUAAAUGGGUCAAAGGGAGGGUGAGGACGUAUUCCUCCUAGUUUGUGCAGCAGGCGUGGCCAGAUGCGAGGGUUUUGCCGGGACCAGCCGUGCGCUUGAAGAGGAGAGGAUAGGGUCGCCAGGACCACUGGGAGUGUUUUCCUUCACCUUCUACCAAGUGUUCUCUGGUAUCGCUCUGGUAAAGGAAGACCGCAGGCAAUCCUUAGACUCUGCUAGGAAUGGACACACCUGAAAGCUGCAGCCUGGUGCAGAGGUCACCAAGCACCCUUAACUGUCGGCGUGGGCCAGCAGGCUGCUUCUCAUUGGGAACAGAUGGACCCCAGUGGGGAGUGGGCGUUCUCUUACCAGCCGUUUCUCAUUGCCCGUUUGGGGAAAUGAAAGCUUGCCGAGGUUUCUCUCUGGCUUUCCUGUUAAGAUUAGUCUCACUAGUCCUGUGACUAGUCUCUCCAAGAGUGAGAAUUCCACUCUGAGUUUUUCCAGUAUUUCUGAAAUUCCCCUCUCCUAGGUCAUGAUUGUGAAAAUAGUUCAGAAUCCUGGGUGUGACGUUUGAGCUGCCGGCUGUUUUUGCUUGUAACCUUAUCGUGAAUCUCUCUGUUUUUAGCCUCCCCUUACCCGCAGGGACCUCAUAACUCUAAGCGCUUAGUUACUAAGACAUUGACCACCGAAUGGUGACCCGCAAGCACAUUCGUACAUGUGGCUGAUGAUGGGAACAGAGCCCUUGAGAGAGCUGGACCAUUUCGGUUGCAGGGAGCCAAAGCAUAUUUUAAUACCCAGAGUAGAAAAGGGAAUACGUGCACUCCCCCAGCUGGGACAUCUCCAAGAUGCAUCAGGCGUGGUGGGAGAGGGCCUUGUGCCAACGCUGGAGGCCCGCGUCUCCCUCCACCACCCCCUUAGGUCUGACUGUGUCCCUCCUGCUGGCUGGCUUCUCGGGCAGACUUCCCCACGGGAUGAGGAUGGUGUCCGCAUGUGGCCCUGGGCAUGUGCUCUUCAGGCGUGCCUUCUCAAAGGGGGUCCUUUCCUCCCUGUCAGGCCUCGCAGAGGUGCUCACGUAGACUGCAGCCAGGGGUGACUUUGUCCCACACACAUCUGGUGAUGUCUGGAGGCACUUCUGUCAACUGAGGGGGAAGGUGGCUCCUGGCACCUGGUGGAGAGAGGCCAGGGAUGCUGCUUGCCAUGCUGCAGUGCACAGGGCGCCCCACCGUAGAGAGCGGUCCCUCCCGGCGUGUCAGGAGUGCUGGGUUGAGAACCACAAUGCCAGACCCAGCGAGUGGUCCCUCGCGUGGGUUCAGCAGUGAGCCUUCGCCGUGGGGAAAGGAGCGGGGCAAACGGGACGGUGGUGGGGACACCUGUGGGGGACAGACGGUUUUCUCAAGAGGAGGGAAUGUUGACAGACAAAAAGGAAUCUCUGGAGUUAGCUGCUAGGUGUGGGCCCCCGGGGGGCCCUUCCUGUGUGUUCUCCGGAGUAGUGAGUACGCAGCGGACGCUCCGUAGACGCUUGCUAAAAUGCGUGGAACUUGCGGAUGCAUCUGGAGCUCUUUAGGCAGGAUUGCUUAGCUCAGCAUUUACUGCUGUGGUCAGGUGUUGGGCGUUUUGGGAACAUACUGCAGAUGAAGCAAGGGUAAUUGAUGAGCUCUGAAAAGUCAUCUGAUACCGGUCAGCAGUGCCCUCCCCAGCCCCCUUUCUCCGCCUUGGUUUUGUUUGUACAAACCUUGCCGCUUUGUCAGCUAAUUUUACACCCACUCUUUUUCCCUGCCCGGUAGGUACCAUUUCUUAGUUGAACCCCCCUCCGUUUCUUCACGUGUCAUCUGCAGACCCUGAUGAUGUCUUAGGGCAAGAAGGGACUGGGAGUUACACACCCUCGUGUGAUGGAGAAAACACCGAAGUCCAGGGAAGUAAAGGACACCCCCCAAGGUCACAUAGCUGGUUUUUGGCAGGAUAAUGCUAAAAGGAGGUUUGUUUGGGACUGUUUCU
This is a long non-coding RNA of Phocoena sinus (vaquita), 2364 nucleotides long. The record is from Ensembl. NCBI's taxonomy places the organism in Eukaryota, Metazoa, Chordata, Mammalia, Artiodactyla, Phocoenidae.